RNAcentral lists this ribosomal RNA (253 nucleotides) under uncultured bacterium. Its description in RNAcentral is "partial 16S ribosomal RNA". It matches the Rfam family "Bacterial small subunit ribosomal RNA", at positions 524 to 776 of the family's 1533-position model. The record is from RNAcentral.
UACAGAGGGUGCGAGCGUUAAUCGGAAUUACUGGGCGUAAAGCGCGCGUAGGCGGCUUUGCAAGUCAGGCGUGAAAUUCCCGGGCUCAACCUGGAGGCUGCGCUUGAUACUGAUGAGCUUGAAUGCGGGAGAGGAUAGUGGAAUUCCCAGUGUAGAGGUGAAAUUCGUAGAUAUUGGGAAGAACACCGGUGGCGAAGGCGGCUAUCUGGCCCGUAAUUGACGCUGAGGCGCGAAAGCGUGGGGAGCAAACAGG